CGGAGGGCGCGAGCGUUGUCCGGAAUCACUGGGCGUAAAGGGCGCGUAGGUGGCCACUAUAAGGCCGCGGUGAAAGUUCGGGGCUCAACCCCGAAUCUGCCGCGGCGACUGUAGGGCUUGGGCACUGUAGAGGCAGAUGGAAUUCCGGGUGUAGCGGUGGAAUGCGUAGAGAUCCGGAAGAACACCAGUGGCGAAGGCGGUCUGCUGGGCAGUGGGAGCGCAAGCUCCUCUUAGCCGACACUGAGGCGCGACAGCGUGGGGAGCAAACAGGAUUAGAUACCCUGGUAGUCCACGCCGUAAACGAUGGGCACUAGGUGCUUUGGGGAGCGACCCCCGGGGUACCGGCGCUAACGCAUGAAGUGCCCCGCCUGGGGAGUACGGCCGCAAGGCUG
This 392-nucleotide ribosomal RNA is filed under the name uncultured organism. RNAcentral's name for it is "bacterial SSU rRNA". It matches the Rfam family "Bacterial small subunit ribosomal RNA", at positions 526 to 896 of the family's 1533-position model. The record is from RNAcentral.